CUCAGCGCGAGAUCGCGUGAAAAUUAAGCUACCUUAUGCCUAUAAAAGGAGUAGGAAGCAAAGGAGAAAAAUAUAUCGGGAUACCAAUCCCUAAAUCACCCCGAAGACUCAGAGCUCUCUAAUGAAUACAUCUUAAGCCUGAGUAUUUCUAAUAAAGGGAACCCUCUAUUUAUGUCCAUUAUUCUCUUAUCCUCCUCUAUCCAUCCCUCUUCUUCUAUCUACAUCAACCUCUAAAUUGUAAAGUCUCUCAUGACAAUGAGAUGCUAAACCCCAUUAGUUAGGGUCUGACAAGGUAAUUUCUAAUAGAACUCAAAGGAAAUGAUAUCUUAAUAAAAUAAUUGCUAGACAUAAAGUGAUUGCAUUAUGUCCAUGCAUCAAAGCAAACAUCUAAAAUUAGAACUUUGUUUUAUCUAUUGAGUCUUUGCAAAAACAUUUGAGAGAUAGAUAAGAUAGGCUUGUCAUCGUGAGAAUCAGGAGCAAGUAUUCUAGUAGACGUGGAAAGGAC
Molecule: long non-coding RNA, 505 nt
Filed under: Glycine max (soybean)
Lineage: Eukaryota; Viridiplantae; Streptophyta; Magnoliopsida; Fabales; Fabaceae
Description: long non-coding RNA (GMAX_LNC001211)
Source: RNAcentral